GAUGAACGCUGGCGGCGUGCCUAAUACAUGCAAGUCGAGCGAACGGACGAGAAGCUUGCUUCUCUGAUGUUAGCGGCGGACGGGUGAGUAACACGUGGAUAACCUACCUAUAAGACUGGGAUAACUUCGGGAAACCGUAGCUAAUACCGGAUAAUAUUUUGAACCGCAUGGUUCAAAAGUGAAAGACGGUCUUGCUGUCACUUAUAGAUGGAUCCGCGCUGCAUUAGCUAGUUGGUAAGGUAACGGCUUACCAAGGCAACGAUGCAUAGCCGACCUGAGAGGGUGAUCGGCCACACUGGAACUGAGACACGGUCCAGACUCCUACGGGAGGCAGCAGUAGGGAAUCUUCCGCAAUGGGCGAAAGCCUGACGGAGCAACGCCGCGUGAGUGAUGAAGGUCCUCGGAUCGUAAAACUCUGUUAUUAGGGAAGAACAAAUGUGUAAGUAACUAUGCACGUCUUGACGGUACCUAAUCAGAAAGCCACGGCUAACUACGUG
This 497-nucleotide ribosomal RNA is filed under the name uncultured bacterium. RNAcentral's name for it is "partial 16S ribosomal RNA". It matches the Rfam family "Bacterial small subunit ribosomal RNA", at positions 28 to 507 of the family's 1533-position model. The record is from RNAcentral.